Molecule: ribosomal RNA, 515 nt
Filed under: uncultured bacterium
Lineage: Bacteria
Description: partial 16S ribosomal RNA
Rfam family: Bacterial small subunit ribosomal RNA
Source: RNAcentral
GAUGAACGCUGGCGGCGUGCCUAAUACAUGCAAGUCGAGCGAAUGGAUUAAGAGCUUGCUCUUAUGAAGUUAGCGGCGGACGGGUGAGUAACACGUGAGUAACCUGCCCAUAAGACUGGGAUAACUCCGGGAAACCGGGGCUACUACCGGAUAACAUUUUGAACCGCAUGGUUCGAAAUUGAAAGGCGGCUUCGGCUGUCACUUAUGGAUGGACCCGCGUCGCAUUAGCUAGUUGGUGAGGUAACGGCUCACCAAGGCAACGAUGCGUAGCCGACCUGAGAGGGUGAUCAGCCACACUGGGACUGAGACACGGCCCAGACUCCUACGGGAGGCAGCAGUAGGGAAUCUUCCGCAAUGGACGAAAGUCUGACGGAGCAACGCCGCGUGAGUGAUGAAGGCUUUCGGGUCGUAAAACUCUGUUGUUAGGGAAGAACAAGUGCUAGUUGAAUAAGCUGGCACCUUGACGGUACCUAACCAGAAAGCCACGGCUAACUACGUGCCAGCCGCCGCAGUAA